CCUACGGGUGGCAGCAGUGAGGAAUAUUGGUCAAUGGGCGCGAGCCUGAACCAGCCAAGUCGCGUGAGGGAAGACGGUCCUAUGGAUUGUAAACCUCUUUUGUCGGGGAGCAAAAGACGCCACGCGUGGCGUUCCGAGAGUACCCGGAGAAAAAGCAUCGGCUAACUCCGUGCCAGCAGCCGCGGUAAUACGGAGGAUGCGAGCGUUAUCCGGAUUUAUUGGGUUUAAAGGGUGCGUAGGCGGAAGAUCAAGUCAGCGGUAAAAUUGAGAGGCUCAACCUCUUCGAGCAGUUGAAACUGGUUGUCUUGAGUUGGAGAGAAGUAGGCGGAAUUCGUGGUGUAGCGGUGAAAUGCAUAGAUAUCGCGAAGAACCCCGAUUGCGAAGGCAGCAUGCCGG
This 396-nucleotide ribosomal RNA is filed under the name uncultured bacterium. Its description in RNAcentral is "partial 16S ribosomal RNA". It matches the Rfam family "Bacterial small subunit ribosomal RNA", at positions 338 to 732 of the family's 1533-position model. The record is from RNAcentral.